This 490-nucleotide ribosomal RNA is filed under the name uncultured bacterium. Its description in RNAcentral is "partial 16S ribosomal RNA". It matches the Rfam family "Bacterial small subunit ribosomal RNA", at positions 29 to 505 of the family's 1533-position model. The record is from RNAcentral.
AGUGAACGCUGGCGGUAGGCCUAACACAUGCAAGUCGAACGGCAGCACAGUAAGAGUUUGCUCUUACGGGUGGCGAGUGGCGGACGGGUGAGGAAUACAUCGGAAUCUACUUUUUCGUGGGGGAUAACGUAGGGAAACUUACGCUAAUACCGCAUACGUCCUACGGGUGAAAGCAGUGGAUCUUCGGACCUUUCGUGACUGAAUGAGCCGGUGUCGGAUUAGCUAGGUUGAGGGGUAAAGGCCCACCUAGGCGACGAUCCGUAGCUGGUCAGAGAGGAUGAUGCGACACAGUAGAACUGACACGCGGUAGAGACCCAUGCGAGAGGCAGGAGUGGGAAAUAUUGGAAUAUGGGCGCAAGUCUGAGCGAGCCAUACCGCGUGUGUGGAGAAGGUCUGCGGGGUGUAACGCCCUUAUGUGGGGAGAAAAAAGGUGCAGGUUAAUACGCCGGUGUUGACGGGAUACCCAAAGAAAAAGCACGCGCAAUCUGCG